CCAACAGAGCCAAGAUGCCUAUCUCUAAUAAGACCAUUCCUCCCAAAUAUGAGUAAAUCCUACACCAAAGACUUCUCUCCAAUAAUAUCCCAAACCCUGACGUAAGGCUUACUGGCCUGUAAUUUGUUGGAUUAUCGUUGUUUCAAGGUAGAAGUGUGGAUAUUUAAUCUAAAGGUCAUCUGGCCCUCUAAACUGAUCCCAUUUUCUUUUAAACAGGACACCUAAAUUAAAUGUUAGCAGGUACUUUGUUCCUACCAGAUGCUAAACCACUGCAUUACUUUCAAUUGGUAGAGAGAAUUUAAUGAAAAUUAAUCUAGCCAGCAUGCCAAAUAAAUAGUAUAGAUCAAAUGAACAAUUGGUGAUGCUUCCAUUUUUCUGAACACUUCAAAUCUCAACUGAAAUUUUGAAGCGAAAUUGAAAAGGGAAUAAAAAUGAAUGUUGUUGACAUUUAUUUUUAAUGUGAUAUGUGAGGCUUUGUGAGCUAGUAGAAGCUAUCUGACCAAUGAACUCUUUCACUUGAGACAAGAGGUCCCAGACAGAUUGCUGUAGGCAAGAAAAAUACUUCUUUUGCAUCUUGACUACAGUUUCUUUUAAAGAAACUAAUCAGGUUGUGUGAGUGACACAGUGAGAAUGAAGAAGAUAGAAUCAAAUGUUUAGUUGAUUGUUGCUUCAGUUACAAAAACCAAUAAGUUAAAUAAGUUCUAGGGUACGAACCUGGGCAUUGUUUUUCUUAGUCAUGCAUAUCCCUUUAUAUUUGGUAUUUUCUGGUUUGUUCACAUUUCAUUUUUCUAACGCAUGAAUACAUUUUUCAUCAGGAAUUGCUUUAAAUACAAAAUAUAUAAGUUUUGAUAAAAUAACAACAGAAAAUGUUGGGAAAACUCAACAGGUCUGGUAGCAUAUGUGGAGAGAAACCAGAGUUAAUGUUUUGUGUCCAGUGACCCUUCCUCUGAACAGAACAGUUCAGCUGCAGUUUCACUUAUGUUUUAUACAUUACUAGCAUUGCUUCCCUGCUACUGAUUUAUUUGGCCAUGACUAAGCAUGGCUUUUACUAUCGUGAUAAAAUAAAGGUCAAGAUAUAUUGGGAGAAUAGGUCUGUACAUUCUAAAUAACCUUGAUAUUACUACAUCAAUAUUGCAAAACACAAUGAUAACUAGCAAGCUGAAAACUUAGGUUCUAGGGGCUGGACUGGAAUCAAUCUGGGGUCAGGAACCCAAUGGCCAACUCGUAUGCAGGUUCUUAUUCUUCAUUAUGUUAACGUCAGCAACACAAAUAAUUUAGUAAUGCAUAUUUUUUGAGAGGCAAGUACAGAACCCAAUUAGUAGUGCCAGGUCUGGCCUGGAGAUGGAACCUAGUACCGAAGGCCCUUUGAAAAGUCGGUAAAGUUCAGCCCAAGAAUACAUUCAUGAACAAUGGUGGAACAAAAAGAACAGAGAAGUUCUCCUGACCAACAUUUCUCCAUCAAUUACCACCACCAAAGCAUUUUAAUUGCUUUAAUUGCAGUUUAUGGGAUCACCUUGUCGACAGUAUAUUACAACAUCCUAUGACACUGUGUGCAUAUUGUUUUUUAAAGGACACAAAUCUAAUCGGGAGAGCAGAAAGUUGAUUGUUUAUAUAAGGUAAUUACUGAAGGAUAUCUUCUUAUACCAAGAAGCAUCUCAUAGUAGAAACAUUUGUGAUUCUAUUUUAUUAAGCACCAGCUAUUUCCAAUUUAUGUAUCUGAUAAUACUGUAAAUACUGUUUUAUAAUAAUUAGCACCCAAUCUCUUGUUCUUUCUAUGAGUGUUUUUUUCCCCUCACCUCAAUGUGUUGCCUUGAAAAGUCUGGAUCAAAACUUAUAAUCAUUCUAUUGUUAAUAAUAAAGAGGCAAAAGACAUCAAAAUUGAAAAAGGAUGUAGGUAUAAUAAUUUCAAAGUUAAACAGAAAUUAAACAAGAAUAAUGUCAUUAUUUUCAUGUAAUGACAUGAAAAUGUUUAAUGACUCAAUUUCUUGCAGGAGCAUUAACACCUUUCUCUCCUUGACAGAGCUUGCACUGAUCAUCUAAUUAAUCCAUCUGAGAUAUCCCACAAUUCUUGUCCAGCUGUAAAUCCAAUUUCUGUAUUAUGUUCUUCCCCAAGCAACUCCAUUGUUUUACUCAGAACAAACUAGGUAAUUCUGAGCAAUACAAGAAAUGUUAGUGUAGCCCAGAUAGUGAACAGUGAGGGCUUCAAAAACAAAAUUAAAAUAGGAUGUGAUGUAAAUCACUCUUAUUGAUAGUGAUAAUAUACACUGAAGCAAGAAAUAUGCAAUGAAAAUAUGAAUUAAUCACAGAGACUUUAAAACUUCUAUGUUUUGUAAAUAAUGUUUAGUUUAUGAUGUGUUCUCUAUACUUUACAACACAGUAAUCAUUUGCUAGGGUUGUUUGUAAAAUGGUCAAUUAUGUAUAUUCAUUCUUUUAAAAUUUACAUACUAAAUACUUGAAGCCAACUUACUAAGAAUUAAAGUGAGUGGUCAAAUUAAA
Non-coding RNA from Chiloscyllium plagiosum (whitespotted bambooshark), 2496 nucleotides. The record is from RefSeq and is a predicted model, not a curated record. NCBI's taxonomy places the organism in Eukaryota, Metazoa, Chordata, Chondrichthyes, Orectolobiformes, Hemiscylliidae.